RNAcentral lists this ribosomal RNA (270 nucleotides) under uncultured archaeon. Its description in RNAcentral is "partial 16S ribosomal RNA". It matches the Rfam family "Archaeal small subunit ribosomal RNA", at positions 477 to 747 of the family's 1478-position model. The record is from RNAcentral.
CAGCACCUCAAGCGGUCAGGAUGAUUAUUGGGCCUAAAGCAUCCGUAGCCGGCUCUGUAAGUUUUCGGUUAAAUCUGUACGCUCAACGUACAGGCUGCCGGGAAUACUACAAAGCUAGGGAGUGGGAGAGGUAGGCGGUACUCGGUAGGAAGGGGUAAAAUCCUUUGAUCUAUUGAUGACCACCUGUGGCGAAGGCGGUCUACCAGAACACGUCCGACGGUGAGGGAUGAAAGCUGGGGGAGCAAACCGGAUUAGAGACCCGAGUAGUCC